AGGGCGUUGAAGCAUGAUCGUAAGGACAUGUGGAGCGCUUAGAAGUGAGAAUGCCGGUGUGAGUAGCGAAAGACGGGUGAGAAUCCCGUCCACCGAUUGACUAAGGUUUCCAGAGGAAGGCUCGUCCGCUCUGGGUUAGUCGGGUCCUAAGCUGAGGCCGACAGGCGUAGGCGAUGGAUAACAGGUUGAUAUUCCUGUACCACCUAUAAUCGUUUUAAUCGAUGGGGGGACGCAGUAGGAUAGGCGAAGCGUGCGAUUGGAUUGCACGUCUAAGCAGUAAGGCUGAGUAUUAGGCAAAUCCGGUACUCGUUAAGGCUGAGCUGUGAUGGGGAGAAGACAUUGAGUCUUCGAGUCGUUGAUUUCACACUGCCGAGAAAAGCCUCUAGAUAGAAAAUAGGUGCCCGUACCGCAAACCGACACAGGUAGUCAAGAUGAGAAUUCUAAGGUGAGCGAGCGAACUCUCGUUAAGGAACUCGGCAAAAUGACCCCGUAACUUCGGGAGAAGGGGUGCUCUUUAGGGUUAACGCCCAGAAGAGCCGCAGUGAAUAGGCCCAAGCGACUGUUUAUCAAAAACACAGGUCUCUGCUAAACCGUAAGGUGAUGUAUAGGGGCUGACGCCUGCCCGGUGCUGGAAGGUUAAGAGGAGUGGUUAGCUUCUGCGAAGCUACGAAUCGAAGCCCCAGUAAACGGCGGCCGUAACUAUAACGGUCCUAAGGUAGCGAAAUUCCUUGUCGGGUAAGUUCCGACCCGCACGAAAGGCGUAACGAUUUGGGCACUGUCUCAACGAGAGACUCGGUGAAAUCAUAGUACCUGUGAAGAUGCAGGUUACCCGCGACAGGACGGAAAGACCCCGUGGAGCUUUACUGUAGCCUGAUAUUGAAAUUCGGCACAGCUUGUACAGGAUAGGUAGGAGCCUUUGAAACGUGAGCGCUAGCUUACGUGGAGGCGCUGGUGGGAUACUACCCUAGCUGUGUUGGCUUUCUAACCCGCACCACUUAUCGUGGUGGGAGACAGUGUCAGGCGGGCAGUUUGACUGGGGCGGUCGCCUCCUAAAAGGUAACGGAGGCGCUCAAAGGUUCCCUCAGAAUGGUUGGAAAUCAUUCAUAGAGUGUAAAGGCAUAAGGGAGCUUGACUGCGAGACCUACAAGUCGAGCAGGGUCGAAAGACGGACUUAGUGAUCCGGUGGUUCCGCAUGGAAGGGCCAUCGCUCAACGGAUAAAAGCUACCCCGGGGAUAACAGGCUUAUCUCCCCCAAGAGUUCACAUCGACGGGGAGGUUUGGCACCUCGAUGUCGGCUCAUCGCAUCCUGGGGCUGUAGUCGGUCCCAAGGGUUGGGCUGUUCGCCCAUUAAAGCGGUACGCGAGCUGGGUUCAGAACGUCGUGAGACAGUUCGGUCCCUAUCCGUCGUGGGCGUAGGAAAUUUGAGAGGAGCUGUCCUUAGUACGAGAGGACCGGGAUGGACAUACCUCUGGUGUACCAGUUGUCGUGCCAACGGCAUAGCUGGGUAGCUAUGUGUGGACGGGAUAAGUGCUGAAAGCAUCUAAGCAUGAAGCCCCCCUCAAGAUGAGAUUUCCCAACUUCGGUUAUAAGAUCCCUCAAAGAUGAUGAGGUUAAUAGGUUCGAGGUGGAAGCAUGGUGACAUGUGGAGCUGACGAAUACUAAUCGAUCGAAGACUUAAUCAA
This 1682-nucleotide ribosomal RNA is filed under the name Staphylococcus aureus M1035. RNAcentral's name for it is "bacterial LSU rRNA". It matches the Rfam family "Bacterial large subunit ribosomal RNA", at positions 1244 to 2925 of the family's 2925-position model. Lineage: Bacteria; Bacillati; Bacillota; Bacilli; Caryophanales; Staphylococcaceae. The record is from RNAcentral.